UGGAUCCAGGCAGCAAUCCCGU
Molecule: unclassified non-coding RNA, 22 nt
Filed under: Mus musculus (house mouse)
Lineage: Eukaryota; Metazoa; Chordata; Mammalia; Rodentia; Muridae
Description: oocyte_clustered_small_RNA3176
Source: RNAcentral